GAUGCUGCAAGCAUCACCUGGUGGGCCUGGAACUCCUGCACGUCCCCCUGGUAGUCUACCUGCACGGUGACGUCACUCAGCUGACCCUGCAGCCUCAUCUCGUGAAGCGAGGCGAGGAUGUUGUCAUGGUGACACUUAGAGUUGAAGAUGCCAGAGGAGCAGACUUGAGGUUUCCAAAUGUCAUCACCACAUCUGCAGCGAGAAGGAUUACCAGCUGCAUCACCGAAACAACAAAAGAUUUGGAGGCGGGAGCCAGAAAAUGACGGCCACGUUACUACAGACAACGCGCCGCAUUGGUGGAAUCCCAGCGCUGUACCAUCACAGUGUCAGCGGAGAGGCAGCAAACACUGGCUGAAAGGUGAGGGACUCAGCAAACAGCGCGUCCCGCCGACGCUGGGCAAUGUUUGCUCGGCUACGGGCGAACUCCUCCACGCAGCCGAAAAUACCAGCGCUGACGUCGACGAUGUGGGAAAAUGUCCACGGUGUGGGUUCAUCUGACGGUACCUCGUCCCCGCAGCGCCGCUCCUCCAUCUGAUGACCCGGCCCUUCAGACCACGUUCAAGCGCUGAGACGCCCUGAUUAGAAAGCCAUUCAUCAGUCCGUGGAGGCCGGUCCGAGUGGAAACACUCUCUGAACGCGGCCCGGAGGUAUUGAUGUUGUUCGGAACAUGUGAGGACAAAUCUCAUUAAACACAUAAUCUUCCCUCUUCUUCGGCCCCUUUGUCGUCUUUCACGUUCCCGCGCUCUCAUUCGCGCUCCUCCGAAAAUGCAAAGGAGGCAUUUUAGUCCUCAUUUAAUUAGCGCGGAAAUAUGCAAAGCAGACUGAAAUGUGGAAUCGAACCGCUUCAUACCCACAAACAAUUAGGCUUUAAUAAAGGUGUUGCCUCCAACCAGUGCAAUAGUUAUAGAUUCCCUCAUUGCUGAAACUCAGAGCUGACCUUAAUUUGUUCCCACCCGUUAGAACGUGCGCUUACUGCGCUCUGAACUCACGUAACCUCUGCCUCUAUCUGCGCAUUGUCUGCAGCAGAACAGAGUGUCAGCCCCUGAAAGCCACAUCUAUUUAUUACACCCGGCGUGCUGAGUCACGCGCGCGCGCGCACACACAUGCUGCGGGGCCCCACACGGCGCGUUUGGGAGCGGCGCACGCGCAGGAAGCUGCAGGUGCGCGCGUGCGUGAACGAUGUUCCAGUCGUGGAUUUCUGAGAUCCUUUCCCGUUCUCCAUCAAAUCUCGAGGACACGCAUACAUUAUCCUCGGAACGUGUGACGGAACGUUUCCAGAUACGGAACGGAGCGGCUUAGAACCAACCGGAACCGGCACCGUGGGGGGCGAGGUUUUUUCUCGUCGGGGUGUGCGCUCGAAAACACAAACCGGACGCGGGCGCGUUAAUUCGGGGCGCCUUUCGCCGCUCUCCGCACCCAACUGCACAUCCGCCGCUACGGACCAACACGUUCAGCCGUUUGAGCUCGCGCGCGCACGUGGUCAACCGUGUCAUCCGGGUUCUGUCCUCCAGGCAGAGCUGUCUGAGGGUUCGACAGGCUGAAUCUGGAACCGGCUCCCCAGAUAUAGACACACAUAUAAUUUGUCUGCGUGCGCUUAAUUUUAACCUACCGUCAUAGAAGAUGAGCAUGAGAUCCGUGAUCUGCACUGGCCUAUUGCUCGGUACCGAGGCGGCCCCGGAGUGAAGCGGGCCCACGUCAGCACCAGUGGAGGUGGGUCCUUCCCCCCGGGCCGGGCCGAGCCGAGCCACCAGCCGCAUGUUUCACGCUGGCCGUCCUGCCUUGCAUCAUGUCCUGAUCACAGCCACAACAACAGACGUGGCAGCGGAGAGGCAGCACCUUGCAGCGCUCGGGGGCUGAGGCAAAACCUGCCAAACUUUGCAUCAGAGCCUGUUUUUUAAAAAGGCCCAAUGCGUCUAAAAUUGCUAAAAAAGUGUAGGUUUUAGUUAUAUGUCGGCGCUGUGAGGUUUUCUGUGUUUUUAAUUGCCUGUAAUUGCAUUGAUCCCCCCUGCUGUGCCGACUAGAACCAAGUCAGCGCCGUCACACGUCCGGCCGCGAUGAAUGGAAGUGCUCCGGCAGACAGGCGUUCCCGCGGCCCGGUCCAUUAAUGCAUUAUAAACGAGGCCGCUCGCAUCCUCCGAGGAGCACGUGAGGCGUGCGAGACACCACAGGCCGGUGUUUCCUGUCUUCCAGUAAGGAGCAGCCGGCACCACGUGAGCCAGCAAGCAGGAAACCAUGUGAUGCGGCAGUCUAGACCACCAGACCCGAGAACGACUGCAGACUCACGGAUCGCUACACAAUGUGCAUUAAAAAUAACCUGUGUUGUCUAUUGCAGGUCCAUUCCGGGUUUUGUUCAGAACAUUUUGACAGUUUAAUUCGCUCCAUUAUUACAAACAUAAGAAAUAGAUGAGGCGUGCAUGGGCUGUUUAAAUAAUGCAUGCAUCUGAUGACUGACAGACAGUGUGUGUUUGUGUUUGUGUGUGUGUGUGUGUGUGUGUGUGUGUGUGUGUGUGUGUGUGUGUGUGUAUGUGUGUGUUUGUGUGUGUGUGUGUGUGUGUGUGUGACUGCACUCUGUGACUCAUAUCAAAGGCUUGAUUUCAGGAUACUCUCUCCAGGUAUUACACAGUAAGGAAAAUCCUGUCCUUUUCAUCUAUGGCAAAGUUACAGUGAUAUUACGUUUGAUGUCGGAGCCA
Molecule: long non-coding RNA, 2690 nt
Organism: Betta splendens (Siamese fighting fish)
Lineage: Eukaryota; Metazoa; Chordata; Actinopteri; Anabantiformes; Osphronemidae
Exons: 5
Source: RefSeq, a predicted model, not a curated record